RNAcentral lists this ribosomal RNA (253 nucleotides) under uncultured bacterium. RNAcentral's name for it is "partial 16S ribosomal RNA". It matches the Rfam family "Bacterial small subunit ribosomal RNA", at positions 524 to 776 of the family's 1533-position model. The record is from RNAcentral.
UACAGAGGGUGCGAGCGUUAAUCGGAAUUACUGGGCGUAAAGCGUGCGUAGACGGUUAUUUAAGUCGGGUGUGCAAGCCCCGGGCUCAACCUGGGAAUUGCAUUCGAGACUGAAUAGCUAGGGUACGGUAGAGGGAAGUGGAAUUUCCGGUGUAGCGGUGAAAUGCGUAGAUAUCGGAAGGAACAUCAGUGGCGAAAGCGACUUCCUGGACCAGUACCGACGUUCAGGCACGAAAGCGUGGGGAGCAAACAGG